Molecule: ribosomal RNA, 555 nt
Filed under: Triticum aestivum (bread wheat)
Lineage: Eukaryota; Viridiplantae; Streptophyta; Magnoliopsida; Poales; Poaceae
Description: partial small subunit ribosomal RNA
Source: RNAcentral
GGGAACACCCGGACAGUUCGAGAAUUAGCAACGUUGUGUAAGUUGCGUUCCCCCAUGAUUGUGUUCCUGUGUGAAACUAGACAGAAGGAGGACAAGAUGAAGAGGAUCCGAGCCAAGCUAGGGCUCAAGGGGUUUUGUGGUGUUGACAGCAAUGGUCUUAGUGGUGGAUUAGCGCUCUUUUGGAGGGAAGAUUGUGUGGUUACAAUUUUGGGCAAGGAAGACAGAUACAUUGACACGGUAAUCCAAGCUUGUCAGGGUGCAGUGGAGUGGCGAGCUACCUUUGUCUAUGGGGAGCCGCGGGUGGAGCACAGACAUCUUAUGUGGUCCAAGUUACAAAUUUUGAAGGCCGUCAAUGAUUUACCUUGGCUUGUAAUUGGUGAUUUUAAUGAAGCCUUGUGGGAUUACAAACAUCUUUCGGUCACACCCAGAGCAGAAGCACAGAUGGUGGCCUUUCGUGAUACAUUAGAGGUGUGUGAGCUCGUGGAUCUGGGUUUUAUGGGCGUGCCGUUUACUUAUGACAAUAAGCGGGGGAGAUCAGCCAAUGUAAAAGUGUGA